UUAAGAAACACGUCAGGAUAUUCAACACACCACUGGCUCAUCUCUAGCCAAAACAUCGCCUUCCCCCUCAUAAGGAAGCGAACACCGAGAACACAUGGCCGUUAUCCCUUAAGGAUCACACCAUUUUUCUAACUGACACCAUCCUCGAAUCUGACCUCUCUUCGGGUUCAGGAAAAUCACAAUAUUCUCAAAAUAGUUGAACUAGCCAACACUGCACUCUCCCAUGCAGUAACAUGAUGUCCAAGCUUUCUACAAUUGGAACAUCCAAG
Molecule: long non-coding RNA, 269 nt
Filed under: Lathyrus oleraceus (garden pea)
Lineage: Eukaryota; Viridiplantae; Streptophyta; Magnoliopsida; Fabales; Fabaceae
Description: Pisum sativum (pea) long non-coding RNA (PSAT_LNC014942)
Source: RNAcentral